AAAUACAUUAUUCUGUUUUUCAGUUUCUCUGCUUUCCUCCUCUCUGCGGCUCUGCCUGUUUCCUUUGAAUUUCUUAAAUUGUUUUCUCAGAUCUCAUCUCUUUGUAUGUCGAUUCUCUAGAUCUAUAGAAUAUCGAAAGUUUGAUACAACUUUUAAAAGAUUUCAUUAGGUUCUCCCUUUUCAGAUCUGGUUUUCCAAGUCGUUUUUCCGUUGAAAUUCUCAGUUUUUCCUCGAUUUAUAUUUCUUAAAGAACGAUUUUAGAUUGUUUGUGGUCUCUCUCGUUUUUGGUUUUGCAGGUGAUUUGAUGGCGAGGAUUCUAUCAAUUAAGAUGGGCAGUUCUGUUCAUAUGUUUCUUUGGUGUAGAAGUUGGAUCUUGGUUUCAGAUGAGAAAGCAGAGGUGAAUCGGUACGGUGUAUAAUCAGAAAUUGUUCAUUCAUGAUGUAAAGAGAAAGAUCCAGAGGCUUGCUGAUUUGUUGAUUGAUUGAUGAUAGAUUGGUGAGGAUUUGAGGUUAAAAGAUGAGAUGUGAAAGAGAUCGAUGCAAAAUCUCUAUGUACAGAGUAUUGUGUGUCGGAUCUUCUUUGUCAUCCCGACCUUUGCCAUGACAGGUGCGCUUGCUUGGCAGGUCAACCAAACCCUAAUAAAAAAAAUUGAUUUGUGGUUUUUGCAGGGGAGUUCGUACGGGGUCUUUUUUGCCCGGGUUCUCCCUUGUUGUUUGUCUGUGGUGUCGAUCUUUUGCUACGAUACUUAAAUUGUCUCAACAAUAACGAUUAUCCAAUCCCACCGGUGAUGAGUCACAAGGAAUUUCACAGCAACGCUGCAGUUUCAGCUCAAGCAAGUUUGUGGGAGUCAUGCUGAAACAAGGGAAGAAUUGUAGCCCUGUGGGUAAUUGAACAUUGCAAGUCUUAUGUACUUUGAAAGGUUGAUCCGUUGUUGAAGCUUGAAGCAUUUGUUGAUUAUAAGCACUUGAAGCUGGGUGGUUUCAGUUAUAAUAUUCUGUUAGCUUUGAAUAGAAUAUUAUUAUUCGAGUAUCUUUCAGGAGCAGGCUUGGAACUAGUGGUAUAAUGUUAUCAAAAGUUUGUGUGUUUGUAUAUUAUUAUUGUUCUUGAACAGAUAAGAAUGUGUCAAUCAAUGGCAACUGCUGGAAGCUAGUUGGCAUCUCAUCCAAAAGUGUCACUAAUCUGGUAUCUGUUGAACUGCCUGAAGUUCAAGUGCUGUGGAGUGUUGGCUGGUAUACCUCUGCUCUUGUGCAGACUUAUGUUCUUGUUCUUGUAUUGCUGGCAGACCAAUUCAUGUAUCAAUUGGUCUGGUAAAGGCUGGUAAACAAGGUUAAAAUUUUGCAAGUGGUCUUGAUUAGAAGUUUGUGCUUUUGGUAAUUUACCUGGAUAUAGAGAAUUUGUUUUUUUUGCUUGUGAAGGUUCUGCUCAAGUAUUUUUAUGUUCUGGCUGUUUUUGAUUUCUAAAACAUUAGACUACCUUUGAAGUAAUAGCUAUUACGCUAUUAGUUAUUACAAAUUGUUAACAAAAUUUCUUGGAUGGAUUUUGCAGUGGCUCGUUAAUCAGCUAAACAGCUGACUGUUAUGUCUAUUUUUUGGGCUUACAUAAAAUUAAUUUAUCAGCUAAACGGACGAUUGUCAUCUCGAUUUUUUGGGCUUACAUAAAAUUUACUAUUGAGGAUGAUGGUUCGAAUCCAUCCGAGUCCGUCCAUGCUACUGUGGCUCCUAGGCUUUCUUUGGUUACUGUUUGCAGGAGCAGUUAAGGAAGCUGGAAAUACAUGUCAGGCAGGUAAGGCAAGGGGGGCAAACAAAGACUCGACUCGAGUCACUUUCCUUCCACUGCGUUUAAACGGAUCUUUAAUAGCUAAAUAUCUUUAUGGGCUUACAUGGUUACAUGUCUAUUAUUAAUCUUUAACAAUAUUUGGAUGGAUUUUGCAGUAGCUCGUUUACUAUCAGCCAAUUUGGUUAGUCUGGACUCAGAAGCUCAAAAUGGUGAAGAGUUCAAAAGGCUUAAAAUGGUGAAGAGUUCAAAAGGCUUGAAGAGGAUAAUGGUUCGAAUCCAUCAGAGUCUUUGUGGCUCUUAGGCUUGGUCUGAUUAUUGUUUGCAGGAGCAGUCUAGGAAGCCAGAAAUCCUUGGGCCGGCCCGUAAUAAACAAAUAUUUUAGCAAACAAGGAUUUGCAGGAGCAGUCUAGGAAGCCAGAAAUACUCCGGCAGGUCGGUAAUAAACAAAUAUUUUGGCAAACAAAGACUUGAGUCACUCGACCUUUCACUGCAUCGAACCAUGCCUCUUCCUGUCUCUUUCAAUCCAAUGCAACCAAAGGCUUUGACCUUUGACUACCUACAAAUGGAGGUAAUACAAGAUGGCAGAGGUUUUCCAUUUUCCCAAUGGGUUGCCCCUAAAUUGGGAGGCUAAAUAAAACAUGUAGGAAUGGAAACCCACUGGCUUGCGCCUCGUCUCGCAAUAAACUUUU
Papaver somniferum (opium poppy) is the source of this 2465-nucleotide long non-coding RNA. RefSeq lists it as uncharacterized. Lineage: Eukaryota; Viridiplantae; Streptophyta; Magnoliopsida; Ranunculales; Papaveraceae. The transcript is spliced from 3 exons. The record is from RefSeq and is a predicted model, not a curated record.